Molecule: ribosomal RNA, 497 nt
Filed under: uncultured bacterium
Lineage: Bacteria
Description: partial 16S ribosomal RNA
Rfam family: Bacterial small subunit ribosomal RNA
Source: RNAcentral
GACGAACGCUGGCGGCGUGCCUAAUACAUGCAAGUCGAGCGAACAGACGAGGAGCUUGCUCCUCUGACGUUAGCGGCGGACGGGUGAGUAACACGUGGAUAACCUACCUAUAAGACUGGGAUAACUUCGGGAAACCGGAGCUAAUACCGGAUAAUAUAUUGAACCGCAUGGUUCAAUAGUGAAAGACGGUUUUGCUGUCACUUAUAGCUGGAUCCGCGCCGCAUUAGCUAGUUGGUAAGGUAACGGCUUACCAAGGCAACGAUGCGUAGCCGACCUGAGAGGGUGAUCGGCCACACUGGAACUGAGACACGGUCCAGACUCCUACGGGAGGCAGCAGUAGGGAAUCUUCCGCAAUGGGCGAAAGCCUGACGGAGCAACGCCGCGUGAGUGAUGAAGGUCUUCGGAUCGUAAAACUCUGUUAUUAGGGAAGAACAAAUGUGUAAGUAACUAUGCACGUCUUGACGGUACCUAAUCAGAAAGCCACGGCUAACUACGUG